Molecule: long non-coding RNA, 1086 nt
Organism: Clupea harengus (Atlantic herring)
Lineage: Eukaryota; Metazoa; Chordata; Actinopteri; Clupeiformes; Clupeidae
Source: Ensembl
GCACUAGUGAUGGUCAUGGUGGAAAGAUAUGAGAUAAUCAUGAGAAAGGUUUGGUUCAGGAGGGUGGGUGGUUUGGAAAGUGCCAGAAGAGAGGCAACCCUUACACAAACUGCCAUGUCAGCAGCUCUUAAGACAAACUAUACUUUAGGAAGAAUGACCAUAGUCAUUCUUCGAAGAAAUGAUCGUCAUUGUGAUGGUAUGUCAGAAUAACAGACAGUGUCAAUUCUGACCAAUUUCUACGGAGACCAUUUUAAAAACUGUCUUAUAGUGACAUCCUGUGGCCGGAAUACUGAACUAAACCUGCUUGGAAUAUUGUACAGUAUGCUAUUACAGAAAAAAAAAACUUAGCUUUGUAAGGUUUUUUUCUUAUUAUUUUUCUUUUUUUUUAAUGACCAUUUAAUGAUUAUAAACACAAUUAUAGCUUACAUUUACCAUUAUUAUAGCAUUCAUUCGUCACUACAUUUAAAAUUACUGUAUUAAUAACUUUAAUAACUAUCAACAAAUAAUGGAUAAGGGAAAGGUGACGUUUGAGGUUGAAAUUAUUUUGUAAUUUUAUUUUACCAGAGAGAAUUAAUAAAGUAUAUAUCUAUAUAACAUUACUGUGUGGAAGUUAUGUUUAUUCUCGUGGAUGCACCAUUCCAUUUCACCUGUUGAUUCCAUUGACUUAGCUAGCUAGCAACAAGAGUUUACACAGGGAUAUUUCUGGAUAAACCCGUUUGACGUCUGUGUAUGCUGAUAUUUCUGUCAUUCGUCCAGACAUUGGUGGGAAUUUCGUGUUCUCUCAAUAUUAUCCCAAUCAAGCUUGGUAAUUGGUAAUGUGUAACAAGAAAGACUGUAAAAUCAACAAUUAACCUAGCGAUAGCUAACUAGGUAGCUACCAAGCUAACGUUAGCUAACCUACUACGUCGACCAGGUGGUUUAACAUUUCGUUGGAUGGAAAAUUUGACAUGGAUAGACAAAUAUGUUGCACUGAAGUAACGUUAACUCUUGAUCUAACCAAAGUCUUCAUAGGUUUAUAAUGUCACUGGCCUAACGUUACUAGUCUGGAUUAUUUUAUAAAUAUGACAAUUUUCGUCCUCUGGAGAA